Molecule: non-coding RNA, 209 nt
Filed under: Nitrosococcus oceani
Lineage: Bacteria; Pseudomonadati; Pseudomonadota; Gammaproteobacteria; Chromatiales; Chromatiaceae
Source: RNAcentral
UGCCCUCCCUCACUUACAGGUACCCCGUUCUUAAUUAAAGGGGUUAAACGGGAAGUCGGUCAAAAGCCGACGCUGCCCCCGCAACGGUAGGCAAGAAGAGACUGGUUAUUAAGCCACUGCGGAUUUUCGUGGGAAGGCAAUCAGUCCCGCAGGUAUUUUGACCUCUGCUACUUGCAAGCCCGGAGACCGGCCUAGAGUGCCCUGUGGUG